GAUGAACGCUGGCGGCGUGCCUAACACAUGCAAGUCGAGCGAUUCUCUUCGGAGAAGAGCGGCGGACGGGUGAGUAACGCGUGGGUAACCUGCCCUGUACACACGGAUAACAUACCGAAAGGUAUGCUAAUACGAGAUAAUAUGCUUUUAUCGCAUGGUAGAAGUAUCAAAGCUCUGGCGGUACAGGAUGGACCCGCGUCUGAUUAGCUAGUUGGUAAGGUAACGGCUUACCAAGGCGACGAUCAGUAGCCGACCUGAGAGGGUGAUCGGCCACAUUGGAACUGAGACACGGUCCAAACUCCUACGGGAGGCAGCAGUGGGGAAUAUUGCACAAUGGGGGAAACCCUGAUGCAGCGACGCCGCGUGAACGAUGAAGUAUUUCGGUAUGUAAAGUUCUAUCAGCAGGGAAGAUAAAUGACGGUACCUGACUAAGAAGCCCCGGCUAACUACGUG
RNAcentral lists this ribosomal RNA (453 nucleotides) under uncultured bacterium. RNAcentral's name for it is "bacterial SSU rRNA". It matches the Rfam family "Bacterial small subunit ribosomal RNA", at positions 28 to 507 of the family's 1533-position model. The record is from RNAcentral.